UCUUCCUACGGGGCGCAGCAGUGGGGAAUAUUGGGCAAUGGGCGCAAGCCUGACCCAGCAACGCCGCGUGAAGGAAGAAGGCUUUCGGGUUGUAAACUUCUUUUCUCAGGGACGAAGCAAGUGACGGUACCUGAGGAAUAAGCCACGGCUAACUACGUGCCAGCAGCCGCGGUAAUACGUAGGUGGCAAGCGUUAUCCGGAUUUACUGGGUGUAACGGGCGUGUAGGCGGGACUGCAAGUCCGAUGUGAAAACCAUGGGCUCAACCUUUGGCCUGCA
RNAcentral lists this ribosomal RNA (277 nucleotides) under uncultured bacterium. RNAcentral's name for it is "partial 16S ribosomal RNA". It matches the Rfam family "Bacterial small subunit ribosomal RNA", at positions 334 to 625 of the family's 1533-position model. The record is from RNAcentral.